GUCAGGAGGUAUCAAUUGUGUAGCCCUCAGCUUAUGGGUGGUAGCUAAAGCCGCAGGACCCAGUGAGGUCACAAAGGAACUGAGCCUAGAUGAGGAAGAAAAAAGGGUCAAGUUUAGAUGAUGAGGAGGCACCAGCAAAAGAGACUGAGAAAGAGUGGGCAGGCAAAUGGAAGAAAGACCGGGCACAAUGAAGGGCAGGAUUAGAGUGGUGAGGAAACUGAGCCUGAGACCGAACA
This 236-nucleotide long non-coding RNA is filed under the name Homo sapiens (human). RNAcentral describes it as "HSALNT0182208". The record is from RNAcentral. Lineage: Eukaryota; Metazoa; Chordata; Mammalia; Primates; Hominidae.